GAUUAUACUAUGUUAUUGCUGAUAUUUGCAUGCGUUAUUUAUUGAGAGAUAUAUAUAUAUGCAUACUGGACAAGAAUAAAAGUCAUUCUUUUACGCUGGAUUCAUCAUUUUAUAUAUGAUUAUGCUGGAGUCAACAAACUACACUCAAAACAAGACUAAGGAAAGGAACACUAUCAAUAAGCAAUCAUACGGAAUUAAAAGUACACUCGACCCCUACUCGCCCGCC
RNAcentral lists this long non-coding RNA (226 nucleotides) under Mytilus galloprovincialis (Mediterranean mussel). Lineage: Eukaryota; Metazoa; Mollusca; Bivalvia; Mytilida; Mytilidae. The record is from RNAcentral.